Molecule: non-coding RNA, 212 nt
Organism: Labrus bergylta (ballan wrasse)
Lineage: Eukaryota; Metazoa; Chordata; Actinopteri; Labriformes; Labridae
Source: RefSeq, a predicted model, not a curated record
GUUUAUUACUGUGUGGCCAGGAAUGAGCUCGGUAAUCAGACAUCACCACAGAUCAAUCUGACUUUUGCAGCAGACACCUCUCCUCUUUGGGGUUCAGCUUUUGGGAUCAUUGUCGUAGUCGUCUGCCUCGCUGUCUGUAUUUGGUGGUUAAAGAGGAAACAUCAAACUCCCCAACAGAACCCGGUGGGAACAUACUUAACUCAUACUUCAAC